GAUCCUGGCUCAGGAUGAACGCUAGCGGCAGGCCUAACACAUGCAAGUCGAGGGGCAGCAUAAAACAAGCUUGCUUGUUGGUGGCGACCGGCGCACGGGUGCGUAACGCGUAUGCAACCUACCCUGUACUGGGGGAUAGCCCGGAGAAAUUCGGAUUAAGACCCCAUAGCACUUAAGAAUGGCAUCAUUCAUAAGUUAAAGGUUACGGUACAGGAUGGGCAUGCGUCCCAUUAGCUAGAUGGUAAGGUAACGGCUUACCAUGGCAACGAUGGGUAGGGGGCCUGAGAGGGUGGUCCCCCACACUGGUACUGAGACACGGACCAGACUCCUACGGGAGGCAGCAGUGAGGAAUAUUGGUCAAUGGGCGCAAGCCUGAACCAGCCAUGCCGCGUGCAGGAAGACGGUCCUAUGGAUUGUAAACUGCUUUUAUUUGGGAAUAAACCUAUUUACGUGUAGAUAGCUGAAGGUACCAAAUGAAUAAGCACCGGCUAACUCCGUG
This 499-nucleotide ribosomal RNA is filed under the name uncultured bacterium. RNAcentral describes it as "bacterial SSU rRNA". It matches the Rfam family "Bacterial small subunit ribosomal RNA", at positions 15 to 507 of the family's 1533-position model. The record is from RNAcentral.